UACGAAGGGAGCUAGCGUUGUUCGGAAUUACUGGGCGUAAAGGGCGCGUAGGCGGUGUGUCAAGUCAGGCGUGAAAGCCCCGGGCUCAACCUGGGAACAGCGCUUGAGACUGGCACGCUCGAGUUCGGGAGAGGAUGGUGGAAUUCCCGGUGUAGCGGUGAAAUGCGCAGAUAUCGGGAGGAACACCGGUGGCGAAGGCGGUUCUCUGGGCCUUACCUGACGCUGAGGAGCGAAAGCGUGGGGAGCGAACAGG
RNAcentral lists this ribosomal RNA (253 nucleotides) under uncultured bacterium. RNAcentral describes it as "partial 16S ribosomal RNA". It matches the Rfam family "Bacterial small subunit ribosomal RNA", at positions 524 to 776 of the family's 1533-position model. The record is from RNAcentral.